This 243-nucleotide ribosomal RNA is filed under the name Salinicoccus roseus. Its description in RNAcentral is "partial 16S ribosomal RNA". It matches the Rfam family "Bacterial small subunit ribosomal RNA", at positions 134 to 368 of the family's 1533-position model. The record is from RNAcentral. Lineage: Bacteria; Bacillati; Bacillota; Bacilli; Caryophanales; Staphylococcaceae.
CAGACUGGGAUAACCACGGGAAACCGUGGCUAAUACCGGAUAAUCCUUUUCCACACAGGUGGGAAAGUUGAAAGGCGGUCUUUUGGCUGUCACUGAUGGAUGGGCCUGCGGCGCAUUAGCUUGUUGGUGGGGUAACGGCCCACCAAGGCGACGAUGCGUAGCCGACCUGAGAGGGUGAUCGGCCACACUGGGACUGAGACACGGCCCAGACUCCUACGGGAGGCAGCAGUAGGGAAUCUUCCG